RNAcentral lists this ribosomal RNA (613 nucleotides) under Irpex lacteus. RNAcentral's name for it is "partial large subunit ribosomal RNA". It matches the Rfam family "Eukaryotic large subunit ribosomal RNA", at positions 37 to 657 of the family's 3401-position model. Lineage: Eukaryota; Fungi; Basidiomycota; Agaricomycetes; Polyporales; Irpicaceae. The record is from RNAcentral.
UGCAUUUUCCAUGCGGAGGAAAAGAAACUAACAAGGAUUCCCCUAGUAACUGCGAGUGAAGCGGGAAAAGCUCAAAUUUAAAAUCUGGCGGCUUUGGUCGUCCGAGUUGUAUUCUAGAGAAGUGUUUUCCGCGUUGGACCGUGUAUAAGUCUCUUGGAAUAGAGCGUCAUAGAGGGUGAGAAUCCCGUCUUUGACACGGACUACCAAUGCUUUGUGAUACACUCUCAAAGAGUCGAGUUGUUUGGGAAUGCAGCUCAAAAUGGGUGGUAAAUUCCAUCUAAAGCUAAAUAUUGGCGAGAGACCGAUAGCGAACAAGUACCGUGAGGGAAAGAUGAAAAGCACUUUGGAAAGAGAGUUAAACAGUACGUGAAAUUGCUGAAAGGGAAACGCUUGAAGUCAGUCGCGUUAGCUAGAACUCAACCAGGCUUGCUUGGCGUAUUUUCUAGUUAACGGGCCAGCAUCAGUUUUGACCGCAGGAAAAGGGCCAGGGAAAUGUGGCAUCUUCGGAUGUGUUAUAGUCUCUGGUCGUAUACUGUGAUUGGGACUGAGGACCGCAGCACGCGCAAGCUGUGCUUAGGAUGCUGGCGUAAUGGCUUUAAACGACCCGUCUUGG